Molecule: ribosomal RNA, 497 nt
Filed under: uncultured bacterium
Lineage: Bacteria
Description: partial 16S ribosomal RNA
Rfam family: Bacterial small subunit ribosomal RNA
Source: RNAcentral
GAUGAACGCUGGCGGCGUGCCUAAUACAUGCAAGUCGAGCGAACGGACGAGAAGCUUGCUUUUCUGAUGUUAGCGGCGGACGGGUGAGUAACACGUGGAUAACCUACCUAUAAGACUGGGAUAACUUCGGGAAACCGGAGCUAAUACCGGAUAAUAUUUUGAACCGCAUGGUUCAAAAGUGAAAGACGCUCUUGCUGUCACUUAUAGAUGGAUCCGCGCUGCAUUAGCUAGUUGGUAAGGUAACGGCUUACCAAGGCAACGAUGCAUAGCCGACCUGAGAGGGUGAUCGGCCACACUGGAACUGAGACACGGUCCAGACUCCUACGGGAGGCAGCAGUAGGGAAUCUUCCGCAAUGGGCGAAAGCCUGACGGAGCAACGCCGCGUGAGUGAUGAAGGUCUUCGGAUCGUAAAACUCUGUUAUUAGGGAAGAACAUAUGUGUAAGUAACUGUGCACAUCUUGACGGUACCUAAUCAGAAAGCCACGGCUAACUACGUG